GACGAACGCUGGCGGCAUGCCUAACACAUGCAAGUCGAGCGAGUAGAUCCCUUCGGGGUGAAGCUAGCGGCGGACGGGUGAGUAACACGUGGGCAACCUGCCUCAUAGAGGGGAAUAGCCUUCCGAAAGGAAGAUUAAUACCGCAUAAGAUUGUAGCUUCGCAUGAAGCAGCAAUUAAAGGAGCAAUCCGCUAUGAGAUGGGCCCGCGGCGCAUUAGCUAGUUGGUGAGGUAACGGCUCACCAAGGCGACGAUGCGUAGCCGACCUGAGAGGGUGAUCGGCCACAUUGGGACUGAGACACGGCCCAGACUCCUACGGGAGGCAGCAGUGGGGAAUAUUGCACAAUGGGGGAAACCCUGAUGCAGCAAUGCCGCGUGAGUGAUGACGGCCUUCGGGUUGUAAAGCUCUGUCUUCGGGGACGAUAAUGACGGUACCUGCAGAAGAAGCGCCGGCUAACUACGUGCCAGCAGCCGCGGUAA
RNAcentral lists this ribosomal RNA (478 nucleotides) under uncultured bacterium. RNAcentral describes it as "partial 16S ribosomal RNA". It matches the Rfam family "Bacterial small subunit ribosomal RNA", at positions 28 to 523 of the family's 1533-position model. The record is from RNAcentral.